Molecule: ribosomal RNA, 250 nt
Filed under: uncultured bacterium
Lineage: Bacteria
Description: partial 16S ribosomal RNA
Rfam family: Bacterial small subunit ribosomal RNA
Source: RNAcentral
GAUCCUGGCUCAGGAUUAACGCUGGCGGCGUGCCUAACACAUGCAAGUCGAGCGGCAGCGAGUUUUACACUGAAUUCUGGAAACUUCUGGUAUAAAUAGAAGAGUUAUUCAAGAAUUUUGUGUAAAAUGUCGGCGAGCGGCGGACGGCUGAGUAACGCGUGGGAAUGUACCCCAAAGUGAGGGAUAACGCACCGAAAGGUGUGCUAAUACCGCAUAUGAUCUUCGGAUUAAAGCCUUCGGGCGCUUUGGG